UCCAUUGGAAAGCCAAUACUAUUAAAAGGGGGUGAGGUAGUUAUUGUUAGAAAUUAAUUAGUACAUUAAUCCAAGGGAUGUGUCCAACCCCGAACAGUCGUGUCUCCUCUCUCUCUCCAUUGCCAAGAGGCACCUGUACUGGAGGGAUGCCUCCGAACAGACACCUCUUCUUCGCACCUCUUCCAGAUGUACAUAUAUACUUGAGAAUCAAUAGAAACAAGACUAAUCGUCCAUUCACUUUCAUUCAAUCUCGUUUUUACUCUAACACAUUAUCAGCACGCUCUACCGAGAACAAACGAGAAGACAAGGACACUCUGGCGAUCUCCAAGUACGGCCACCACGCACAUCGUGGAAGAAACGGCGCGUGCAAUUCCUCCCCAAUUGCUGGAGAAAUCCGCUUCCACACGCCGCUCCCUGGAAAAGAUGAUGCUCAUCCGUUUUUCUCUUGCCUGCCAUGCACUCACGUGAAUCACGUCCGAGCGUUUUGGCCACAUGAGAAGAAAGCAUCUCUUCUGCGGACCGUCUUCAACCAUCACCAAGGGAGCAACUCCGACGGUCUUCAACCCCGACGAACUCAACGAAGAAGACCGGCAGCGUCGCGUCGCUCAGGCCGUUGGUCGUGGCUGCGCCAGCGCCAGUCCACGCCCGCCCACGCCAGCGCGAGCCCACCUCUAGCUAUGGUUGCGCCCGCCAGCGAUGCGACUGGCAGCGCCAUGCCAUGGCCCCACGCGCCCGCGCCACGCCGCCAGGAGGACGCCGAGAAGCGCGACGAGGCUGCUGCCCGCAAGGCCGAGAACCAUCGUCGUCGCCUCGGUCGUCUCCAAGACGGAUGCCCGCAAGGCCAGCCGCGUCGGCGCCCCAGCCCCCAAGGUCACCGAGAUCGACCUCGUGCGCCGCCGCGAAGAGGAGCGUCUGCGCCUCAAGCGCAAAGCCGAGGCUGCCAAGAAGCGUGCCGUGAGCACAGCACGGGAGAAAGAUUUUGGCAGGAGACCUUAUCCAUUCGGUGUUUUGUUGAUUUUGCCCCUUGAGUUUCUAAGAACUGAGUAUUGGUCUUUCGUUUGCACCAUAGACCUUAUAAGUUAUAAAAUUAUCUGAUGUACAUAAUCAGAUUCGUUAAAUUUGUAUUAUAACCCUCAGGUUAUACAGAAGUUGUGCAAACACAUAUUUCCAACAGUACAUAAGUACACAACAGACCGUCGGUUCAUUAUAAAUUACAUACAACACAAUUAUACACCAUUUUGCGAUGGGUGAAAUUGUCAUUUGAAGACCUCAUGUCUUUGUAUAUUUGCAUAAGUAUGUAAAUUAACUUUUCC
RNAcentral lists this long non-coding RNA (1313 nucleotides) under Hordeum vulgare. RNAcentral describes it as "long non-coding RNA (HVUL_LNC012319)". The record is from RNAcentral. Lineage: Eukaryota; Viridiplantae; Streptophyta; Magnoliopsida; Poales; Poaceae.